GACGAACGCUGGCGGCGUGCUUAACACAUGCAAGUCGAACGGACAGGCCCUGCUUUUGUGGGGUGCUCGAGUGGCGAACGGGUGAGUAACACGUGAGUAACCUGCCCUUGACUUUGGGAUAACUUCAGGAAACUGGGGCUAAUACCGGAUAGGAGCUCCUGCUGCAUGGUGGGGGUUGGAAAGUUUCGGCGGUUGGGGAUGGACUCGCGGCUUAUCAGCUUGUUGGUGGGGUAGUGGCUUACCAAGGCUUUGACGGGUAGCCGGCCUGAGAGGGUGACCGGCCACAUUGGGACUGAGAUACGGCCCAGACUCCUACGGGAGGCAGCAGGGGGGAAUAUUGCACAAUGGGCGGAAGCCUGAUGCAGCAACGCCGCGUGCGGGAUGACGGCCUUCGGGUUGUAAACCGAUUUCGCAUGUGACGAAGCGUGAGUGACGGUAAUGGGUAAAGAAGCACCGGCUAACUACGUG
This 468-nucleotide ribosomal RNA is filed under the name uncultured bacterium. RNAcentral describes it as "partial 16S ribosomal RNA". It matches the Rfam family "Bacterial small subunit ribosomal RNA", at positions 28 to 507 of the family's 1533-position model. The record is from RNAcentral.